UGCAAUGGCGGCUGUGCGUGGGAGACCUUCGGGUCUGCCGGGUCCUGCAUCUCCGGUUUAUCAGCCUGCGCACAGCUGCCACCCAU
Molecule: non-coding RNA, 86 nt
Filed under: Pseudomonas sp. GV085
Lineage: Bacteria; Pseudomonadati; Pseudomonadota; Gammaproteobacteria; Pseudomonadales; Pseudomonadaceae
Source: RNAcentral